RNAcentral lists this ribosomal RNA (217 nucleotides) under Pyricularia parasitica. RNAcentral describes it as "partial large subunit ribosomal RNA". Lineage: Eukaryota; Fungi; Ascomycota; Sordariomycetes; Magnaporthales; Pyriculariaceae. The record is from RNAcentral.
AAGCGCUUGCAACCAGACUCGAGCGCGGCGGUUCCCCCUGGCUUCUGCCUGGGCUACUCCGUCGCGACCGGGCCAACAUCAGUUCUCGGGGUCGGUUAAAGGUUCGAGGAAUGUACUCACUCUCUCGGGGGUGAACUUAUAGCCUCGUUCGUCAUGCGGCCACCGGGGACUGAGGAACGCGCUUCGGCGAGGAUGUUGGCGUAAUGGUUGUAAGCGA